GCGAGCGGCGGAUGGGUGAGUAACACGUGGGGAACCUGCCCCUAAGUCUGGGAUACCAUUUGGAAACAGGUGCUAAUACCGGAUAAUAAAGCAGAUCGCAUGAUCAGCUUUUGAAAGGCGGCGUAAGCUGUCGCUAAGGGAUGGCCCCGCGGUGCAUUAGCUAGUUGGUAAGGUAACGGCUUACCAAGGCGACGAUGCAUAGCCGAGUUGAGAGACUGAUCGGCCACAUUGGGACUGAGACACGGCCCAAACUCCUACGGGAGGCAGCAGUAGGGAAUCUUCCACAAUGGACGCAAGUCUGAUGGAGCAACGCCGCGUGAGUGAAGAAGGUUUUCGGAUCGUAAAGCUCUGUUGUUGGUGAAGAAGGAUAGAGGUAGUAACUGGCCUUUAUUUGACGGUAAUCAACCAGAAAGUCACGGCUAACUACGUGCCAGCAGCCGCGGUAAUACGUAGGUGGCAAGCGUUGUCCGGAUUUAUUGGGCGUAAAGCGAGCGCAGGCGGAAAAAUAAGUCUAAUGUGAAAGCCCUCGGCUUAACCGAGGAACUGCAUCGGAAACUGUUUUUCUUGAGUGCAGAAGAGGAGAGUGGAACUCCAUGUGUAGCGGUGGAAUGCGUAGAUAUAUGGAAGAACACCAGUGGCGAAGGCGGCUCUCUGGUCUGCAACUGACGCUGAGGCUCGAAAGCAUGGGUAGCGAACAGGAUUAGAUACCCUGGUAGUCCAUGCCGUAAACGAUGAGUGCUAAGUGUUGGGAGGUUUCCGCCUCUCAGUGCUGCAGCUAAACGCAUUAAGCACUCCGCCUG
RNAcentral lists this ribosomal RNA (800 nucleotides) under uncultured bacterium. RNAcentral's name for it is "bacterial SSU rRNA". It matches the Rfam family "Bacterial small subunit ribosomal RNA", at positions 91 to 875 of the family's 1533-position model. The record is from RNAcentral.